UACGAAGGGGGCUAGCGUUGCUCGGAUUUACUGGGCGUAAAGCGCACGUAGGCGGAUCGUUAAGUCGGGGGUGAAAUCCUGGAGCUCAACUCCAGAACUGCCUUCGAUACUGGCGAUCUAGAGUCCGGAAGAGGUGAGUGGAACUCCUAGUGUAGAGGUGGAAUUCGUAGAUAUUAGGAAGAACACCAGUGGCGAAGGCGGCUCACUGGUCCGGUACUGGACGCUGAGGUGCGAAAGCGUGGGGAGCAAACAGGGGAUUAA
RNAcentral lists this ribosomal RNA (261 nucleotides) under uncultured bacterium. Its description in RNAcentral is "partial 16S ribosomal RNA". It matches the Rfam family "Bacterial small subunit ribosomal RNA", at positions 524 to 781 of the family's 1533-position model. The record is from RNAcentral.